RNAcentral lists this ribosomal RNA (253 nucleotides) under uncultured bacterium. RNAcentral's name for it is "partial 16S ribosomal RNA". It matches the Rfam family "Bacterial small subunit ribosomal RNA", at positions 524 to 776 of the family's 1533-position model. The record is from RNAcentral.
UACGGAGGGUGCAAGCAUUAAUCGGAUUUAUUGGGCGUAAAGGGCGCGUAGGCGGGUACGCAAGUCGUAUGUGAAAUCCCAGGGCUCAACCCUGGAACGGCAUAUGAAACUGCGAAUCUAGAGGGUAGGCGGAGAAAAUAGAAUUCCACAAGUAGCGGUGAAAUGCGUAGAUAUGUGGAAGAAUACCGGUGGCGAAGGCGGUUUUCUAGCUUAUACCUGACGCUGAGGCGCGAAAGCAAGGGGAUCAAACAGG